UUGUGACAGUUCGUGCAAUACAUAUGGUGCUAUAAAAGCAAAAUUGGAGGAGCAAUAGGGCAAAGUUGACCCCAAAUUCUUGUCUAGAAUUGAAACAAGCGGCACAGAGGUACAUCCGAAAAUGAAAUGCACCAGUACUCUGGAAGAGAGCAAAUUUCCAGAUUGUAGAUCCGACCCCGAUCUUAGACCUUGCCUUCAAGCUACCGAAACAAAUACUGGUUCUUUCAAAGUUGAGGAGGAAAUGCAUAUGGCAGAAGGUUAUCCAUCUCUAAAAGAUCACCUUCCUGGAAAACCAAAGGCAGUUGUUGAGUAGAAGGUUGAUGGGGA
Hibiscus syriacus is the source of this 327-nucleotide long non-coding RNA. RefSeq lists it as uncharacterized. The transcript has 3 exons. Lineage: Eukaryota; Viridiplantae; Streptophyta; Magnoliopsida; Malvales; Malvaceae. The record is from RefSeq and is a predicted model, not a curated record.